GAUGAACGCUGGCGGCGUGCUUAACACAUGCAAGUCGAACGGAAAGGCUCCUGCUUGCAGGGGUACUCGAGUGGCGAACGGGUGAGUAACACGUGGGUGAUCUGCCCUGCACUUCGGGAUAAGCCUGGGAAACUGGGUCUAAUACCGGAUAGGACGAUGGUCUGGAUGCCAUUGUGGAAAGUUUUUCGGUGUGGGAUGAGCUCGCGGCCUAUCAGCUUGUUGGUGGGGUAAUGGCCUACCAAGGCGUCGACGGGUAGCCGGCCUGGGAGGGUGUACGGCCACAUUGGGACUGAGAUACGGCCCAGGCUCCCACGGGGGGCAGCAGUGGGGAAUAUUGCACCAUGGGCGCAAGCCUGAUGCAGCGACGCCGCGGGGGGGAUGACGGCCUUCGGGUUGGAAACUCCUUUCGCUAGGGACGAAGCGUUUUGUGACGGUACCUGGAGAAGAAGCACCGGCUAACUACGUG
Molecule: ribosomal RNA, 466 nt
Filed under: uncultured bacterium
Lineage: Bacteria
Description: partial 16S ribosomal RNA
Rfam family: Bacterial small subunit ribosomal RNA
Source: RNAcentral